AAACGUCAGCUUUUGUGCUCCUGAGAUGCUGCUUGGCCUGCUGUGUUCAUCCACCUUCACACUUUAUUAUCAGAGACUCUCGGACCUGCGUUUGCAGCAAACGUGAAAACAACUGCGGGUCUCAAGCAGCGAUCGGCCCCGCUAACCCCCGCCAUCUUUAUUGGGGGAUAUUAAUGCACAAUAAUUUGCAGACCGGGAUCUCAAAAUAAGUCCUGACAGUCAGAGGAAUCAUCAGGAUCUGAAUAUCAUUGGCAUAUAAUUGUGGAAGGAUAAAGGGUGAUUUGCGAUUAGAGACUUCAAAUGAAACCACACCCAGAUCUGACAGUCGGUCUGUUUAUCACAACCUAAUCAUCACAGAAUUUUGAACAUUGAAGGAAGAAGCACACAUCUUCUGUACGUGGGAGAGUCUGUGAAAUUCACCUGAAAUGUCCAAACGCCAGCACAGUCACACUGGGGACAGAAUGUGGAAAUGUACGGAUUGUGGGAAGGGAUUUCUUUACCCAUCCCAGCUGGAAAAUCACCGACGCAGACACACUGGGGACAGACCAUUCACCUGCUCUGAUUGACGGAAGGGGUUUACUCAGUCAUCCAGCCUGCUGAGACACCAACGACUUCACACGGGGGAGAGACCAUUCACCUGCUCUAUCUGUGGGACAGGAUUCACUCAGUCAUCUAAACUGCUGGAACACCAGGGAAUUCACACUGGGGAGAGACCAUUCGCUUGUUCUGAAUGUGGGAAAGGAUUCGCACACUUAUGUAGAUUGCUGGAGCACCAGCGAGUUCAUACCAAAGAGAAACCAUUCGCCUGCUCUAAUUGUGGGAAGGGAUUUACCAAAUUAUACAACCUGAUGAGACAUCAGCAGAUUCACACUGCGGAGAAAGCAUUCACCUGCUCUGAAUGUGGGAAAGGAUUCAAUUCGUCAGCCAACCUGCUGAAACACCAGCAAGUUCACACUGGGGAAAUACCAUACACCUGCUCUGAAUGUGGAAAAGGAUUCAUUCACUCAAGCAGACUGCUGGAGCACCAGCGAGUUCAUACCAGGGAGCAACCAUUCACCUGCUCUGAUUAUGGGAAGGAAUUUACCAAAUUGUACAAUCUGCGGAGACACCAGCGAGUUCACACUGGGGAGAAAGAUUCACUCAGUAAACUUGCAUGCUGAAACAACAGCCUGUUCAUUCCAUGGAGACACCUUUCACUUGUUCGGUAUGUGGGAAGGGAUUUACUCUGUCAUUGAAACUGUUAACACACCAGUGAAAUGACACUGGGUGGAUCCUGUUCACUUGCUGUGGUUGUGGAAAAGGCUUUGCUGUUUGCUAAUAUACCAGCAACUUCAUAAGGAACCACAGGUGAAGGGUUUUGCUUUUACUCACACCAAGGAAGGAACCUCGGUCAUUUUGCCAUUUGUAUUGACAUUAUUAAACCCUGGUCCAUGACAGGGGUGAUAUUGUAGAUAAAAUGGUGAUACAGUUAUCUAUCAGAAGAAUAGGUUGUGGAAAUGAUCACAAUAUUGCUGUACAUCAUACUUACACUGGGUAAAGACUGUCCACCAUAAAAAUACAAAUCAGCUUUUUGUCAAAACUGUGUUGCAUCAAAUCUUUGUCUAAUCCUGAAUGCCUUAGAGAUAAGAUAAUCAGUAUCCUUUACUGGGAAAAAGCAUAUCCAGAGUGAGAUAUAGCCAGAAAUGCUGGGAAUUUAGUUCCAAGUGCUGUUAGGGCAUGUGCAAAUUAAUUUGGCAGGGGGUGGGAUCCAGAGAGAAAAGAGAAGAAUCAAUAAAUGCGUCAGGAAGGCAUCGACAUGACAAGCCAGUUCAGGUACAAGGGAGUUUGACAUGAUUGAAUGGCAUUGAUAAUAAUGCUAAGACUUUGAUGGACAAGACAGAUGAGUUCAGAAUACAAAUUAAAAAUAGGGUGUGAUGACAUUGCUGUAACUCAUAUAUGUUUGAGAGAAUGGCAGGAUUGGAACGCAUAGGUACUAAUGACAGUCUUCAUGCAGGGUCUUCGUGCGAUAUAGCGAAGGAGACAAAAGAAGAAGAGGUGUGCCAGUUGUGUUUAGGGAAUUUAUUCGGGCGAUAAGGAGAGAUGACAUUCUUAGAAAACUCCUUUAAUAAACCUGGACAGGUAAAGCUAGAAGCACAGGUAAGGAGGCAAAUUUCAGGAAUUGUAAAAGUGCUAAGGUCACGAUAGCGGGGUAUUUCAACUUGCCCAAAAUUCACAGUGGUUAUCACAGUGUGAAAGGUUUCAAGGAACUUCUAAAAUCGAUCCAGCACAGCUUUCGAAGCCAGUGUGCAAAAGUCCCAACAAGGAAUGGGUAGGUCCUGUACUUAACCACUUGUCACCUUUUGUUGCCUAAAGUUGAAGGAUCAACUGGGGAGUAUUUUGCAGAUAGUUGCCAUAACUCUUCCAAAAAUAUUUGGGAUUGCUCUGGAAAAGGACAAGGAUAGGCCUCAAAUGAAAGUUCUAAAUUGUUUGAUUUUUUUUAAUCAGACCAGGUAAUAAUUUGGCUGGAGUGUGCAGGAAGCAGAUUCUUUCAGGUAAAUGUGCAAGAGGGAAUUUAAAUGAGUAGAUGUGGAGAGCUAUAAGGGGAAAAUGAA
Molecule: long non-coding RNA, 2591 nt
Organism: Stegostoma tigrinum
Lineage: Eukaryota; Metazoa; Chordata; Chondrichthyes; Orectolobiformes; Stegostomatidae
Exons: 3
Source: RefSeq, a predicted model, not a curated record